AUGGCAGGAAACACUCACAUUGGAGGAAGAGGCGCCGGCAGAGGAAGGGCUUGCAUCAUCUCAGCUGGUGUGUGCCAAGCGGCUUGCCACGGGACUCCACGGUACGGUCGCCGGCAUUCUGCACCUUCCACCGUUGUCUCCUGUAGGUGUAUAGCUCCCUUCCUCUGGCCGCCCAUGUCCCUGCUACAGCCGGUGGACCUCCACAUAUCAGACGACGAGGGCACCGGCGACCAUGGUCAGUCCCGCGACGCCAGCAUCGGCCACCCAGUGGAUCUGACUACCGAAUGCCAUGCGGCGACCGCAGUGGUGUUGAUGCAUGCCUGCGACAAGACCGACACACUGGAACAACUCAACUCCUUCUGGCUUCCCAACCUCCGGCGUGCCCAUGUGAUGCUGCCUACAGCCUCCCAUGGAUCAGGUGAAGCUGCUGGAGAUCAUGGUGUGGGUUCAAGAUGGACCUCAUGGAUGAAUGACGGGGUCAAACGGUGCCUCCAUGCCAGAUACACUCUGUUGUCGUGCUGCCGAUGUUGUGUCAACGAUGCUAAGGAAUUUGCAUAUAAGUCCAACGGUUGGCAUGGCAAGGAAAAGAGGAUGUGGACCCCAUCAAAAUUCAAAGGACAUGGAUUGGCAAAAGCUCAAGACUCUACUUUUUUGGUUAAGUGA
Molecule: ribosomal RNA, 663 nt
Filed under: Triticum aestivum (bread wheat)
Lineage: Eukaryota; Viridiplantae; Streptophyta; Magnoliopsida; Poales; Poaceae
Description: partial small subunit ribosomal RNA
Source: RNAcentral